CGCUCAUGCGGCAACAUUUUACGCCAACUUAAAAAAUACUCGGAUCUUCCAUGAACACAUUAAAAUGCGGCGUUCAUUAAAAAAACGAGGACGCAAAGUUUGUAUUCAAAGUCCAUUUCAUAUUGUAAGCAAUAGAAAUUGCGCUUGAAUGUUGAAAAAUGACGCAUUUAAAAUGGACUGCGCAAAUUAAAGAAAUCUCUCACAACAGUAUCAUGCGUAUCGAAUCAUACUUAAAAGUUAAAUACAACUGAACCGAGUUUGGACUGGAUUCAAGAAGCAAGCAACAUGAUGCAUUUUUAAAUACCUCAGUUGAUUGAUUUGGUUGCAUUCCACUAGUAGCUUGAGAUUCACCGAGGUAGCCAAAUUAAAGGACCAGUUCAAUUAGCAGGCCUCUAAUAUGAUGGGCCAAGUGGGCUCAAUAAUUUAUCACAAUAGUAUAACAUCCGGCGACAGCGUGGAUGACCGGUUAGCGCGUUGGCCUCACAGUGCAGAGUUUGCAUGGUCUCCCCGUGCCUGCGCGGGUUUUCUCCAGGUACAUCGGUUUCCUCCCGCCUUCC
Hippocampus comes (tiger tail seahorse) is the source of this 557-nucleotide long non-coding RNA. RefSeq lists it as uncharacterized. The transcript has 2 exons. NCBI's taxonomy places the organism in Eukaryota, Metazoa, Chordata, Actinopteri, Syngnathiformes, Syngnathidae. The record is from RefSeq and is a predicted model, not a curated record.